CUGGAAAUACAGAUGGUUGUGAGUUAUAUCAUGCGAGUGUUGGGAAUUGAACCCAGGUCCUGUGCAAGAACAAAUGUUGGUCAUGGUAAGCCAUCUUUCUAACCCUAUUAUAUAUAUCUUCUCUAUGUUCACAAGUUAGAGAUAUAUCUUCUUUAAUAUAAUGACUUUAUUUGGGGGGUACUGUAAUUCAUAUGCAAAUUGAUUUAAAUAAAUAACAUCAUCUAAGCACAUGUUCCCUCUAAUUAGGGGGUAUACACAUGGCUUCCAGAGCAGUCUCUAUGGACACACAAUCCCUUCCUUCUGGCCACCUCUGUUAUAACCACUGUGGAAUAAAAGUGGCCCCUGUUUCUUCUUUUCCUGAAGCUAAGAAGAGCUACGUAGCUAGCAGAGUUCUGAGUAAGGGAGUUGCUAGAAGUCUCCGGGGAGUGAAGAGGAACCGUCCAAUGUGCAGAACAAGACACAUCCCUCUGCAUCCACAGCCCUUUCAGCAGGGAUACGGAGGAGAAGCAACCACUUAGGGGAACAGCAGGAUGAGAUGGGAUUGUGGAAAUCCUUGGCUCUCCCACAACCAUUGGGGUUCACAGAGAAUCUUGAACACCUUUAGUUGUAGCCUCAUCUUCCUGGCACCCAGCCUCAUCUUCCUGGAAUCUGGUCCCCAUCUUCUUCACCGCCUGCAAUCACCAUGUGAGUUUUCCUCUUGUCCUUUCCUGGUCCCUCGAUCUGCUGUCUCUUCUCGGAUAUGAUGGCCCACAGUGUUGACACAGCCUCUCAAUCUUUACCUACCCUAAAUACUACGUACCACUUCCCUGACGGAUGAAUGACACACAGCCCAAGUUAGCUUUAAGAGCAUCAUGUUCCUCUCACUUCAGCCUCCAGAGAGCUGGGAUUGUGGGCGCUGAGCUACCACAUCUGGCUGAUAUGUAUGAUGAGAAUCAGGAUGUGUUAUCUAGGAUACAGCCCUUUGGCAUUUGAGAAAAUGGUGGAAGCAAAAGAGUAAUGAUAUGCAGCUAGAAACUGUGUUUUCAAGAGAGCAUUUACUCUUGACUUGGGCCAAUAAUGUACCUCCAAAACAGGAUGGAAGCCUGCCAUCUUGUCUUCAUUUUGUAUGCGUUUUCUUUGCUUUGGGCGCCAGUUUAUCUCUCCACCUAGACAUGUUAAUCGUUCAAGGAUUGUCUCCCUAGGAGUUAACAAGCCCUAGCCUAUCUCCAUCCCUCAAGGCUGAAGGCACAAAGAUAAGACAAGAGUAACCCAGGCCUCUUAGACAGUCAUCUUUUUUUUUUUUUUUAACAAACAUUGUUUUAUAACGUCUAAGUCUAGUUCUCCAGAAGACACCUAAACUAGUCAGACAUUAGUGACAUUGAAGGUUUUGGACCACGGACUCUCCCAUUAAGAUGUAUAGUUCUUUGCCAAACCAGGAACAAAAACUGAAGGACUUUGAUAAAAAGAAUUUAAAAAGCACAAGGUCUGAAUUGUAUCUCUAGCCUUGGGUCAUGAAGAAUAGAAGACUACUAUCUAGCAAGAGACCCAGACAAAGAAUAAAUAAGUACUGUGGCCCUCUCCCUUAAGAUUUAAUCCAAAUGGACCUUUUAAUCAACUGGCCGGGAAGAUGCCCUCCCAGAAAGCUCUCUGUUUAACAACUUAAGAAAUAGCAUAAAGUCUGCCUAAAAUGUAAGUCAGCAGAGAGCUACCCUUGGCUGAUGUCCACUCAUCACAGGAGACAGUCCCCACUCCCCCACCCCUGCCCGACUCCAAAAGGUCCCCUUGGGUUUUGGCCACGCUCACCCCAGGAGAGAGAGUACCUUCUUCCUCAAUGAUUUCUUUGGCUACUGGCCACUCAGAAUGUUUAAUUUAGUGUGUCUUGUACUUUCACGUUACAAUCUCUAUCUUCUACGCUACACUCUCGGUCUCAUCUGAAUUCUUUUAAUGGACAUCACAAAGACCAGAUAAAGUACAGGCUGCCAGAGAGAGAUCCCCAUAACAAUCACUGCCCUGAAACUGCAGUGGAAUCCAGGAACGGCAGAGCCCAGAGGGAGAGAUGUCCUCGUCGGAUGAGGACAAUUAUCUACCAUGACAAGACUUUAACAUGGAGGAGAAUUAGUCUCCUGAGAAACAGGAUGUCCACUCAUGCAAAGAACUUGUUUGGAACACCUUGCAGAACUAGAACCAAGUCAGUGAUCAACCAGACCACAGCUAGAUCAGCACUAGUUACUUAAGCAUCCUUCCUGCUUCCCUGUCACAAUUCUUCCUCCCUUUAAAACUAAAAAGCUCAUGUUAGUUCUCCAAAGAUGGAUUUGGGGGUUCACUAGGACCCCCUCCCCCCUAUUCUUCCUAAUGUGUGCAUGGACUAAAUGUCUUUUUCCCCCUGUACUUAUUUCUUUAGGUGUUAUGCUGAGAAGCAUAGCGAAGCCUAGAUCUUUGGGACCCCAGAGUCCAUCUGUUGCCCUGAAUCUCUGGUAAAAAGCAGCCACUCUUCCUUAGCCCUCUUCCAUGAAGCAGGUCACCAAGGCACACAGCCCUUCUCCAGAAGGCACAAGGCUGCCCCGAGCUCCCUGUUCUGAGGCCUAGCAUGUGCUGUGGACACUCUGGCUCAUCUCCAGUGUUCCACCUCCAUGUGAAUCCCAGGCUGGCGUGUUGAUGCACACUAAUGUGCCUUUUCUCCUGGUGGUCUGUUCACUGUCUGUCCUGUGGAUUCAAAGUGCCAGAGCUUCAAGAAAUUGAGCUGGGGGACUAAUUUUAAUCUCUAUAUCUGUAUAGGUAAUAUUCUAUAAUGUUAUCUACCUCUCUGUCGAAUUUAAGCAUAGCCAUACACCUUCAUCUGUGUCCUAAAUUCCUGCUUCUUUAUAUAAGGUCCCACGACAAAUAAUAUAGGUGCAAGGUCUUCUCUGCUUGGCCAGUCUUCUGUUAGAAUGGCCGUGGUUACAAACUUAGUGAUGGGUGAGGAAAUCUGUCCUUCUUUUUUACAUUAUCAACCACUUAUACAGGACCCUGGGUUGUCAUUUAUCUCAUAAAGCAUUAUUUAAUUCUUUUGUAUUUUCUAUUUUGCACAUUAGAAAUUCAUAUAAUCUUAUUUUUGUAAAGACAAAGAAAAUCAGAUUGCUUUUGUCUUCCUAGAAAAUAAUAAAAUAUCUUUAAGACUGAAGCAUUUUUUUCCUGGCUAUGCUUGGGUGUCAUUCAUAUGUGUGUCAUGUGUGUUUCUUACGUAACAUGUGGGGUGUGUGUAUGUGUGUGUGGUUAGUGUGUGUAUGUGUGUGUUGGUAUGUGUGUGGUGUAUGUGUGGUGUGUGUGUAUGGUUUAUGUGUGUGUGUGGUGUGUUUGGUAUAUGUGAGUAUGUAUGUGUGUGGGGUGUAUGUGGUAUGUGUGGUGUAUGGUGUAUGUGUGGUGUGUGUGUAUGGUUUGUGUGUAUGUGGUAUGUGUGGUGUGUUUGGUAUAUGUGAGUGUGUAUGUAUGUGUGGUGUGUCUGGUGUAUGUGUGUGUGGUGAAUGUGUGGUGUGUGUGUAUGGUGUGUGGUGCUGGUGUGUGUGUGUGUGUGCCUAUCUGAAUUUUGUUUUCUGUUUUGGGCAUUAAUUUUCUUUGUCAUUUCAAAUCAUUAGUUUGGAUUUGAACUAAGACGAUGUAUACUCUUUCCUUCGACAAAUUAUUUAUUUUAUCUUACCUGUUUAUAUUUUAAUUUUGGUACUGAGAAUUAAAUUCAGGGCCAAAGCAUAUGCUCUCCUAGUGAGCCAUCUCCCCAGGCUGGCUUAGUUUUGGGUUUCUAAAUAAUGAUUAUGUGGGUUAUUUUCCCUCUAGUACUUGACUGCCAUUGCUUUCGUUGGUUCUAAUUUUACUGGUACAGAUUUCUGUAGGUGUUUCUUAUUACAUAUAGUUAAAUGUAUAUGUAUGUAUAUGUAUGUAUAUGUAUGUAUAUGUAUGUAUAUGUAUAUGUAUAUGUAUAUGUAUAUGUAUAUGUAUAUGUAUAUGUAUAAUAUGAGUCUGGGUGGAUAUGUUGCAUAUGAGUUCAGGUGCCCAAGGAAGCCGGAGGCGUGGGAUGCCCUGGAGGUAGAGUAACCUGCGGUUGUAAGCUGCCCGGUGUGGGCGCUGGGAAUCAGCUGAGACCCUGCCAGCAUAGCACAGGCUCUCCACGAUGAGGCAUCUCUCAGGCCCCACAGUUCUCCACUUUAGUUCAGAUCAUUCUCUCUGAUCUCCUCUGUCCUUUUUCCUCGGAAGCCUUCGGUUCUGCUUCUUUGCCUCUUAAUCCUGCUGACUGUGUGCUGGGUACCAUCGAGCACCCGGUACCAUUAAACAUGCUGUUUUCUUGGGGUCCUGUGAGAAACCACGGGAAGUCCUACUCUGUGCUGUGAACAGGACUUUCUGGUCUCUGAAGCAGAUCUCUGUACUGGCAUUCACAUUCUACCAGGAGUGGAGAAAGAAACUUGCUUAGGUUUCCCUUCUCCCUGAGGGGACAAGAGAGCAGGUGUCCCUGUGAGCAGACACUCAUAUAUGUCGGUCUGAUUUCAGAGGCAGACCAGCCUCUGUCUGGAACCCCAAAAUGACAGCAGCGUUCUUUCUGGUCUUUCCCCAUUCUGAACUCUCAUGUGGCACACAGAGAGUCCCUGCCUUUGCCUGGUCCUUUGGGACCCUAAGUUUCUUCAUCCCAUUGGCACCGUGGAUCAGUAGCCAUCACUCAGCACAGUCAGGUUGGGAGGCGGUAGAAGAGGGAAAUCAUUCAAGCCAAUAUUAUACCAGAAUCCUGGGCACACAUUUACAGGGAGCCCCCGUUACUCUUCUAGUGUUCUUUUGUUUCUUCAUUGACCAGGGGCAGAAUUCUACAUAAAAGGUGGCCUAGCGCUUGGCUACCAUGCUACUCUUAGCCUUGGCACUGCAGAGAAAGGCUUAUCUCUGGCAGGAUCUCACCCAGGAUUCCUUCCUCUUUCCUCCUCUCCCUUCUCACCUCUCACCAGCAGAACUUCCCAAAGCAUGAGCUGAACCUGGACUAACUAUGGCUGAGGUAAUGCUGCACAUUUGUGGGAGCAGAGGCGCUGAGAACCGGAUUGUGAUAAGACUAAAGGGAAAGCCAAGUCCCAAAGGGACGAGUGACUGAGGGUGGAGCCAAACAGCUGGGACACCUGGGCUGAGUCACACUUAGCACUUCAGAGCCUGGCUUCUAUCUGCCUCUCCCUCUCCCCUCCUUUACAAAUCCAGUUCCAGUUUUGACUUAGGUGAUGCAGCAGCACAGAUGUGGUGUUGCCGCUGCUAACUUUCCUCUCUGUGGCCAUUCUAAAAAUUAAAAAAAAAAAACACACACACACAGUAACUUUGUCUCUGUGUGUUUUAAAAUUGUAAAGUUCACAACACUUAGGCUUUGGGCUGUUUCCGGGUGAGGAAUUGGGGGCGGGGAUCUUUAUAGAAUUAUUAUUGGUCAGAGAACAAAAGUUUUCUUAGUCUUAGAGAAAGUGCCUUUCAAAAUUCAACCCUAGAACCAAUAUUCCAUGUUGAAGUUGGUGUCUGUUCUUGUCUGGUCAGGAAUACCAGAGGCAUAUAUGCACAUAGCACAGACAGCUUUAGCAGGAUGGAAAAAAAAAUAAACCCUCUAUUUUAUUCCUUCUUCAAGACUGUGGGCUGAUGGGAGACAGCUGUUUUAUGAGAAAUGUGUCUCUGACCUGAUGAGAUAAAUUCUCUUCAAAGAGGAAUAAAAGAAAAUAGUAUCUAAGAAUGUGGAAUGUGUGUCAUGGUUACCCCAAACCCUUCACACCUACAGCCAGCAGAGCUGCAGAAAGAGAAGUUUCUUCUGAUGAACGCUCCCCACCCCCCAAAAAAACUCUCAGGAGAUUUAAAGGAAUAGAGAGGGAGAGGCAGGGAGGGAGACAGAUGGAAAUAGAUGAGAGAGAGAGGGAGAUAGGGAGAAACAGAGAGAGGAAGGGAGAAAGUAAGGGAGAGAGGGAGAAACAGAGAGAGGGAGGGAAAGAGGAAAGGAGAGAGGGAGAAACAGAGAGGGAGGGAGAAAGGGGGAGACGGAGGAAUAGAGGGAGGGAUGGAGGGAGGGGGAAGGGAGAGAGGAAUGGAGGCAGAGAGGGAGAGAGAUGGAGAGACAGACAGACAGAGUUGUGGGGGGGAGAGGGAGAGAUCCGUGUAAGAUCCAGUCCACUUGCCCAUGACUGUGACACUGAACUCACCCCAGCUUUACAGGAUCUAAAUAUAACAUGUAAUUAACGGGAGUCACCUGCCAGUCAGUGAAGCCAUAAAAAAUCUGAUUAAAAUCAAAUGUGAUGACAGGCCAGGAAAGAAAAAAAAUCUGUUUGUUAAAAAUAAAACCCCUAGGUUUCUCCAUUAUGAGGUCCCCAUGUAAUGGCAUCAACGGGGGUCUCUACUUAGUCCUUCCUGCAGGUGACGUGGCAUUUUCCAGUGUCCUUUAAGGUAGAGGGACACAGGACCCAAAGAACACCCUGUUUUAAGACUCUGCAGAGGAGCUAAAUUAGCGAACUACGUUGGAGCUGUUUCAAGGAUCUCUGGCUACUGUUAAUAUUGUUAAUCUUUCAUUUUUAUUGUGUGUGUGUGUGUGUGCUGUCAGGAGCAGUGGCAGGAAGCACAUUUUGUCAAUUAAAUAAUUAAUCCCACAGCAUAAUAGUCAGUAAGGAAAGACUGACAUUUGUUAGGCUCAAAGCAAAAGAAAGCCUGGGAGGGUUUUCCAUUGUGCUUGCUCAAGAAAAACAUCAUUUGGUAGCAGGCUUGUUUCUCUGCUACACCUACCGAUCCUGCCACAGCGAGGAAGACGAGAGAGAAGUCUGGGACACAGACGGGGCUCACUUGUCGUGAAAGCAUUAGGUCCUGGGUUCAGAUGCCAACACCCAUGAAAAAUGCACUUUUGCUGGAUGUCAACCUUUUGCUUUCACAGGAACACAACACACACACACA
Mus musculus (house mouse) is the source of this 6888-nucleotide long non-coding RNA. RefSeq annotates it as predicted gene, 39178. The transcript has 2 exons. Lineage: Eukaryota; Metazoa; Chordata; Mammalia; Rodentia; Muridae. The record is from RefSeq and is a predicted model, not a curated record.